Molecule: ribosomal RNA, 465 nt
Filed under: uncultured Klebsiella sp.
Lineage: Bacteria; Pseudomonadati; Pseudomonadota; Gammaproteobacteria; Enterobacterales; Enterobacteriaceae
Description: bacterial SSU rRNA
Rfam family: Bacterial small subunit ribosomal RNA
Source: RNAcentral
CCUACGGGUGGCAGCAGUGGGGAAUAUUGCACAAUGGGCGCAAGCCUGAUGCAGCCAUGCCGCGUGUGUGAAGAAGGCCUUCGGGUUGUAAAGCACUUUCAGCGGGGAGGAAGGCGGUGAGGUUAAUAACCUCAUCGAUUGACGUUACCCGCAGAAGAAGCACCGGCUAACUCCGUGCCAGCAGCCGCGGUAAUACGGAGGGUGCAAGCGUUAAUCGGAAUUACUGGGCGUAAAGCGCACGCAGGCGGUCUGUCAAGUCGGAUGUGAAAUCCCCGGGCUCAACCUGGGAACUGCAUUCGAAACUGGCAGGCUAGAGUCUUGUAGAGGGGGGUAGAAUUCCAGGUGUAGCGGUGAAAUGCGUAGAGAUCUGGAGGAAUACCGGUGGCGAAGGCGGCCCCCUGGACAAAGACUGACGCUCAGGUGCGAAAGCGUGGGGAGCAAACAGGAUUAGAUAACCGUGUAGUC